This 253-nucleotide ribosomal RNA is filed under the name uncultured bacterium. Its description in RNAcentral is "partial 16S ribosomal RNA". It matches the Rfam family "Bacterial small subunit ribosomal RNA", at positions 524 to 776 of the family's 1533-position model. The record is from RNAcentral.
UACAGAGGGUGCGAGCGUUGUUCGGAAUUAUUGGGCGUAAAGCGCGUGUAGGCGGGAUGGUAAGUUGGGUGUGAAAGCCCUCAGCUCAACUGAGGAAGUGCGCCCGAAACUACUGUUCUUGAGUACUGGAGAGGGUGGCGGAAUUCCCGGUGUAGAGGUGAAAUUCGUAGAUAUCGGGAGGAACACCAGUGGCGAAGGCGGCCACCUGGCCAGAUACUGACGCUGAGACGCGAAAGCGUGGGGAGCAAACAGG